GACGAACGCUGGCGGCGUGCUUAACACAUGCAAGUCGAACGCUGAAGCUCAGCUUUUGUUGGGUGGAUGAGUGGCGAACGGGUGAGUAACACGUGAGUAACCUGCCCCCUUCUUUGGGAUAACGCCCGGAAACGGGUGCUAAUACUGGAUAUUCACUGGUCUUCGCAUGGGGGUUGGUGGAAAGGGUUUUUCUGGUGGGGGAUGGGCUCGCGGCCUAUCAGCUUGUUGGUGGGGUGAUGGCCUACCAAGGCUUUGACGGGUAGCCGGCCUGAGAGGGUGACCGGUCACAUUGGGACUGAGAUACGGCCCAGACUCCUACGGGAGGCAGCAGUGGGGAAUAUUGGACAAUGGGCGCAAGCCUGAUGCAGCGACGCCGCGUGAGGGAUGGAGGCCUUCGGGUUGUGAACCUCUUUCGCUCAUGGUCAAGCCGCAACAAUGGUUGUGGUGAGGGUAGUGGGUAAAGAAGCGCCGGCUAACUACGUG
RNAcentral lists this ribosomal RNA (483 nucleotides) under uncultured bacterium. Its description in RNAcentral is "partial 16S ribosomal RNA". It matches the Rfam family "Bacterial small subunit ribosomal RNA", at positions 28 to 507 of the family's 1533-position model. The record is from RNAcentral.